This 775-nucleotide ribosomal RNA is filed under the name Argyrodes argyrodes. RNAcentral describes it as "SSU rRNA". It matches the Rfam family "Eukaryotic small subunit ribosomal RNA", at positions 970 to 1764 of the family's 1831-position model. The record is from RNAcentral. Lineage: Eukaryota; Metazoa; Arthropoda; Arachnida; Araneae; Theridiidae.
CCAUUAAUCAAGAACGAAAGUUAGAUGAUCGAAGGCGAUCAGAUACCGCCCUAGUUCUAACCAUAAACGAUGCCAGCCAGCGAUGCGGCUGCGUUCCUCAAAUGACGCGCCGUGCAGCUUCUGGGAAACCAAAGCUUUUGGGUUCCGGGGGAAGUAUGGUUGCAAAGCUGAAACUUAAAGGAAUUGACGGAAGGGCACUACAAGGAAUGGAGCCUGCGGCUUAAUUUGACUCAACACACGGAAUCUUUCCCGGUCCGGACACAGGAAGGAUUGACAGAUUAAGAGCUCUUUCUUGAUUCUGUGGGAGGUGGCGCAUGGCCGUUCUUAGUUGGUGGAGCGAUUUGUCUGAUUAAUUUCGUUAACGAGCGAGACUCUAGCCUACUAAAUAGACGUUCCGAUCCUUGUUGUCGGACGUUCUUCUUAGAGGGACAAGCGGCGUUUAGCCGCACGAGACUGAGCAAUAACAGGUCUGUAAUGCCCUUAGAUGUCCGGGGCCGCACGCGCGCUACAUUGAAGGAAUCAGCGUGUCUGUCCCUGCCCGACAGGGCUGGGUAACCCGUUGAACCUCCUUCGUGCUGGGGAUAGGAAAUUGUAAUUAUUUUCCUUGAACGAGGAAUUCCUAGUAAGCGCGAGUCAUCAGCUCGUGUUGAUUACGUCCCUGCCCUUUGUGCACACCGCCCGUCGCUACUACCGAUCGAGUGAUUUAGUGAGGUCUUCGGACUGGCGCUCGGAUUGGCCUCUUGGUCGAGCCGAAGUGCCGGAAAGUUGGCCGAAC